Molecule: ribosomal RNA, 220 nt
Filed under: uncultured bacterium
Lineage: Bacteria
Description: partial 16S ribosomal RNA
Rfam family: Bacterial small subunit ribosomal RNA
Source: RNAcentral
CGACGUGGAUAACCUGCCUCACACAGGGGAUAACAGUUGGAAACGACUGCUAAUACCGCAUAAGCGCACAGCACCGCAUGGUGCAGUGUGAAAAACUCCGGUGGUGUGAGAUGGAUCCGCGUCUGAUUAGCUGGUUGGCGGGGUAACGGCCCACCAAGGCGACGAUCAGUAGCCGGCCUGAGAGGGCGACCGGCCACAUUGGGACUGAGACACGGCCCAG